This 594-nucleotide ribosomal RNA is filed under the name uncultured Bacteroidota bacterium. RNAcentral describes it as "bacterial SSU rRNA". It matches the Rfam family "Bacterial small subunit ribosomal RNA", at positions 122 to 715 of the family's 1533-position model. Lineage: Bacteria; Pseudomonadati; Bacteroidota. The record is from RNAcentral.
CAACCUGCCGACAACACUGGGAUAGCCUUUCGAGAGAAAGAUUAAUACCGGAUGGCAUAGUUUCCCCGCAUGGGAUAAUUAUUAAAGAAUUUCGGUUGUCGAUGGGGAUGCGUUCCAUUAGGCAGUUGGCGGGGUAACGGCCCACCAAACCAACGAUGGAUAGGGGUUCUGAGAGGAAGGUCCCCCACAUUGGAACUGAGACACGGUCCAAACUCCUACGGGAGGCAGCAGUGAGGAAUAUUGGUCAAUGGACGAGAGUCUGAACCAGCCAAGUAGCGUGAAGGAUGACUGCCCUAUGGGUUGUAAACUUCUUUUAUACGGGAAUAAAGUUAGCCACGUGUGGCUUUUUGUAUGUACCGUAUGAAUAAGGAUCGGCUAACUCCGUGCCAGCAGCCGCGGUAAUACGGAGGAUCCGAGCGUUAUCCGGAUUUAUUGGGUUUAAAGGGAGCGUAGGCGGGUUGUUAAGUCAGUUGUGAAAGUUUGCGGCUCAACCGUAAAAUUGCAGUUGAUACUGGCGACCUUGAGUGCAACAGAGGUAGGCGGAAUUCGUGGUGUAGCGGUGAAAUGCUUAGAUAUCACGAAGAACUCCGAUUG